CAAAGAUUAAGCCAUGCAUGUCUAAGUAUAAGCGAAUUUAUACUGCGAAACUGCGAAUGGCUCAUUAAAUCAGUUAUGAUCUACUUGACAAAUUCUUUACUACUUGGAUAACCGUGGUAAUUCUAGAGCUAAUACAUGCAACAAAGCCUCGACUUCGGAAGGGGUGCACUUAUUAGUUAAAAGCCAACUCGGGGUAAAACCCGGUUUUUUGGUGAUUCAUAAUAAUUAAGCUGAUGUAUGGCCUUGAGCCGACGACGGUACAUUCGAUUUUCUGCCCUAUCAGGCUUGAGAUUGUAAGAUAGAGGCUUACAAUGGCUACCACGGGUAACGGGGAAUUAGGGUUCGAUUCCGGAGAGGGAGCCUGAGAAACGGCUACCACAUCCAAGGAAGGCAGCAGGCGCGCAAAUUACCCAAUUCCGAUACGGAGAGGUAGUGACAAUAAAUAACAAUGCAGGGCCUUUAAGGUCUUGCAAUUGGAAUGAGUACAAUUAAAUCCCUUAACGAGGAUCAAUUGGAGGGCAAGUCUGGUGCCAGCAGCCGCGGUAAUUCCAGCUCCAAUAGCGUAUAUUAAAGUUGUUGCAGUUAAAACGUCCGUAGUCGCAACUUGGCCUUUAGGCAUACGGCAUAGGCUUCAUUGACUAUGGUUGUUGUGUCUUGGGCCUGUUUUCUGGUACAUGCUCGUUAGGCUUCGGUCUGGCGAGUAUUUAGGCCAGAGUAUUACCAUGAGCAAAUCAGAGUGUUUAAACAGGCUUUACAGCUUGAAUGUGUUAGCAUGGAAUAAUGAAAUACGACCGUGGGUUUUAUUUCGUUGGUUUCUAGACCUACAGUAAUGAUGAAUAGGAACGGUUGGGGGCAUUUGUAUUUGGUCGCUAGAGGUGAAAUUCUUGGAUUGACCGAAGACAAACUACUGCGAAAGCAUUUGACCCAGGACGUUUUCAUUGAUCAAGGUCUAAAGUUAGGGGAUCGAAGACGAUUAGAUACCGUCGUAGUCUUAACCACAAACUAUGCCGACUAGAGAUUGGACUUGACCAUUAUGGCUUGUUCAGCAUCUUAGCGAAAGCAAAGUUUUUGGGUUCUGGGGGGAGUAUGGGACGCAAGGCUGAAACUUAAAGGAAUUGACGGAAGGGCACCACCAGGAGUGGAGCCUGCGGCUUAAUUUGACUCAACACGGGGAAACUCACCAGGUCCAGACAUAGUGAGGAUUGACAGAUUGAAAGCUCUUUCUUGAUUCUAUGGGUGGUGGUGCAUGGCCGUUUUAGUUCGUGGAGUGAUUUGUCUGGUUAAUUCCGAUAACGAACGAGACCUUAUUCUGCUAAAUAGCCAAGCCAACUUUUUAGUUGGAUGGCUUGGGCUUCGGCUCACAUUUGGCUUCUUAGAGAGACUAUCGGCUUAAAGUCGAAGGAAGUUUGAGGCAAUAACAGGUCUGUGAUGCCCUUAGAUGUUCUGGGCCGCACGCGCGCUACACUGAUGAAGUCAGCGAGUUUUUAUUCCUUGGCUGGAAAGUCUGGGAAACUUUUGAAACUUCAUCGUGCUGGGGAUAGAGCAUUGCAAUUAUUGCUCUUCAACGAGGAAUUCCUAGUAAGCGCAAGUCAUCAGCUUGCGUUGAUUACGUCCCUGCCCUUUGUACACACCGCCCGUCGCUACUACCGAUUGAAUGGCCAUAGUGAGCAUAUGAGAUUGCUUUCGGCUAGUUGGCAACAACUGGCUUUAAGCGAGAACUAGGGCAAACUAGACUAUUUAGAGGAAGUAAAAGUCGUAACA
This 1761-nucleotide ribosomal RNA is filed under the name Radiomyces spectabilis. RNAcentral describes it as "SSU rRNA". It matches the Rfam family "Eukaryotic small subunit ribosomal RNA". The record is from RNAcentral. Lineage: Eukaryota; Fungi; Mucoromycota; Mucoromycetes; Mucorales; Radiomycetaceae.